CCUGGGUGGCUUUGUUUCUCUCAUGGA
Molecule: unclassified non-coding RNA, 27 nt
Filed under: Mus musculus (house mouse)
Lineage: Eukaryota; Metazoa; Chordata; Mammalia; Rodentia; Muridae
Description: oocyte_clustered_small_RNA9224
Source: RNAcentral